Molecule: unclassified non-coding RNA, 352 nt
Filed under: soil metagenome
Description: partial contains 5.8S ribosomal RNA, internal transcribed spacer 2, and large subunit ribosomal RNA
Rfam family: 5.8S ribosomal RNA (bases 1-120)
Source: RNAcentral
GAUGAAGAACGUAGCGAAAUGCGAUAAGUAAUGUGAAUUGCAGAAUUCAGUGAAUCAUCGAAUCUUUGAACGCACAUUGCGCCCGCCAGUAUUCUGGCGGGCAUGCCUGUUCGAGCGUCAUUACAACCCUCAGGCCCCCGGGCCUGGCGUUGGGGAUCGGCGGAAGCCCCCUGUGGGCACACGCCGUCCCUCAAAUACAGUGGCGGUCCCGCCGCAGCUUCCAUUGCGUAGUAGCUAACACCUCGCAACUGGAGAGCGGCGCGGCCAUGCCGUAAAACACCCAACUUCUGAAUGUUGACCUCGAAUCAGGUAGGAAUACACGCUGAACUUAAGCAUAUCAAUAAGCGGAGGA